Molecule: ribosomal RNA, 263 nt
Filed under: uncultured bacterium
Lineage: Bacteria
Description: partial 16S ribosomal RNA
Rfam family: Bacterial small subunit ribosomal RNA
Source: RNAcentral
GUCCACGCCCUAAACGAUGUCAACUAGGUGUUGGGAAGGAGACUUUCUUAGUACCGCAGCUAACGCGUGAAGUUGACCGCCUGGGGAGUACGGUCGCAAGAUUAAAACUCAAAGGAAUUGACGGGACCCGCACAAGCGGUGGAUUAUGUGGAUUAAUUCGAUGCAACGCGAAAACCUUACCUACCCUUGACAUGCCAGGAAGUUUCCAGAGAUGGAUUCGUGCCCGAAAGGGAACCUGGACACAGGUGCUGCAUGGCUGUCGU